Molecule: ribosomal RNA, 2988 nt
Filed under: Acinetobacter baumannii
Lineage: Bacteria; Pseudomonadati; Pseudomonadota; Gammaproteobacteria; Moraxellales; Moraxellaceae
Description: 23S ribosomal RNA
Rfam family: Bacterial large subunit ribosomal RNA
Source: RNAcentral
GUUGUAUAGUCAAGUAAUUAAGUGCAUGUGGUGGAUGCCUUGGCAGUCAGAGGCGAUGAAAGACGUGAUAGCCUGCGAAAAGCUCCGGGGAGGCGGCAAAUAUCCUUUGAUCCGGAGAUGUCUGAAUGGGGGAACCCACCUACUUUAAGGUAGGUAUUGCAACAUGAAUACAUAGUGUUGCAAGGCGAACGAGGGGAAGUGAAACAUCUCAGUACCCUUAGGAAAAGAAAUCAAUUGAGAUUCCCUCAGUAGCGGCGAGCGAACGGGGAUCAGCCCAUUAAGUUAUGUGUGUUUUAGUGGAACGCUCUGGGAAGUGCGAACGUAGAGGGUGAUAUUCCCGUACACGAAAGGGCACACAUAAUGAUGACGAGUAGGGCGAGGCACGUGAAACCUUGUCUGAAUAUGGGGGGACCAUCCUCCAAGGCUAAAUACUCCUGACUGACCGAUAGUGAACCAGUACCGUGAGGGAAAGGCGAAAAGAACCCCUGUGAGGGGAGUGAAAUAGAUCCUGAAACCGCAUGCAUACAAGCAGUGGGAGCACCUUCGUGGUGUGACUGCGUACCUUUUGUAUAAUGGGUCAGCGACUUAUAUUCAGUAGCAAGGUUAACCGUAUAGGGGAGCCGUAGAGAAAUCGAGUCUUAAUAGGGCGUUUAGUUGCUGGGUAUAGACCCGAAACCAGGCGAUCUAUCCAUGAGCAGGUUGAAGGUUGGGUAACACUAACUGGAGGACCGAACCCACUGUCGUUGAAAAGCCAGGGGAUGACUUGUGGAUAGGGGUGAAAGGCUAAUCAAGCCUGGUGAUAGCUGGUUCUCCCCGAAAGCUAUUUAGGUAGCGCCUCGGACGAAUACCAUAGGGGGUAGAGCACUGUUUCGGCUAGGGGGUCAUCCCGACUUACCAAACCGAUGCAAACUCCGAAUACCUAUGAGUACUAUCCGGGAGACAGACUGCGGGUGCUAACGUCCGUAGUCAAGAGGAAAACAAUCCAGACCGCCAGCUAAGGCCCCAAAAUCAUAGUUAAGUGGGAAACGAUGUGGGAAGGCAUAGACAGCUAGGAGGUUGGCUUANNNNNNNNNNNNNNNNNNNNNNNNNNNNNNNNNNNNNNNNNNNNNNNNNNNNNNNNNNNGAAGCAGCCACCCUUUAAAGAAAGCGUAAUAGCUCACUAGUCGAGUCGGCCUGCGCGGAAGAUGUAACGGGGCUAAAACUAUGUGCCGAAGCUGCGGAUUUGACAUUAGUCAAGUGGUAGGGGAGCGUUCUGUAAGCCGAUGAAGGUGUAUUGAGAAGUNNNNNNNNNNNNAUGCUGGAGGUAUCAGAAGUGCGAAUGCUGACGUGAGUAACGACAAAACGGGUGAAAAACCCGUUCGCCGAAAGACCAAGGGUUCCAGUCCAACGUUAAUCGGGGCUGGGUGAGUCGACCCCUAAGGCGAGGCCGAAAGGCGUAGUCGAUGGGAAAAUGGUUAAUAUUCCAUUACUUCUGUGUAAUGCGAUGAGAGGACGGAGAAGGCUAAAUCAGCCUGGCGUUGGUUGUCCAGGUGAAAGGAUGUAGGCAUGUAUCUUAGGCAAAUCCGGGGUACUCUAUGCUGAGAUCUGAUAGCAAGCUGUACUUGUACAGCGAAGUGGUUGAUGCCAUGCUUCCAGGAAAAGUCUCUAAGCUUCAGUUACACAGGAAUCGUACCCGAAACCGACACAGGUGGUCAGGUCGAGUAGACCAAGGCGCUUGAGAGAACUCUGCUGAAGGAACUAGGCAAAAUGGUACCGUAACUUCGGGAGAAGGUACGCUGUUGUUGGUGAUGGAACUCGCUUCCUGAGCUGACGACAGCCGCAGAAACCAGGCCGCUGCAACUGUUUAUUAAAAACAUAGCACUCUGCAAACACGAAAGUGGACGUAUAGGGUGUGAUGCCUGCCCGGUGCUGGAAGGUUAAUUGAUGGGGUUAGCGUAAGCGAAGCUCUUGAUCGAAGCCCCAGUAAACGGCGGCCGUAACUAUAACGGUCCUAAGGUAGCGAAAUUCCUUGUCGGGUAAGUUCCGACCUGCACGAAUGGCAUAAUGAUGGCGGCGCUGUCUCCAGCAGAGGCUCAGUGAAAUCGAAAUCGCUGUGAAGAUGCAGUGUACCCGCGGCUAGACGGAAAGACCCCGUGAACCUUUACUGCAGCUUGACACUGAACUUUGACCUUACUUGUGUAGGAUAGGUGGGAGGCUUUGAAGCUGGAACGCUAGUUCCAGUGGAGCCGUCCUUGAAAUACCACCCUGGUAAUGUUGAGGUUCUAACUCUGUCCCGUGAUCCGGGACGAGGACCGUGUCUGGUGGGUAGUUUGACUGGGGCGGUCUCCUCCUAAAGAGUAACGGAGGAGUACGAAGGUGCGCUCAGCGUGGUCGGAAAUCACGCGUAGAGUAUAAAGGCAAAAGCGCGCUUAACUGCGAGACCCACAAGUCGAGCAGGUACGAAAGUAGGUCUUAGUGAUCCGGUGGUUCUGUAUGGAAGGGCCAUCGCUCAACGGAUAAAAGGUACUCUGGGGAUAACAGGCUGAUACCGCCCAAGAGUUCAUAUCGACGGCGGUGUUUGGCACCUCGAUGUCGGCUCAUCUCAUCCUGGGGCUGAAGCAGGUCCCAAGGGUAUGGCUGUUCGCCAUUUAAAGAGGUACGCGAGCUGGGUUUAGAACGUCGUGAGACAGUUCGGUCCCUAUCUACCGUGGGCGCUGGAAAUUUGAGAGGAUCUGCUCCUAGUACGAGAGGACCAGAGUGGACGAACCUCUGGUGUACCGGUUGUGACGCCAGUCGCAUCGCCGGGUAGCUAUGUUCGGAAGGGAUAACCGCUGAAAGCAUCUAAGCGGGAAGCCUACCUCAAGAUAAGAUUUCCCUAGGACUUUAUGUCCUCUAAAGAGCCGUUCGAGACUAGGACGUUGAUAGGUUGGAUGUGGAAGCAUAGUGAUAUGUGAAGCUGACCAAUACUAAUUGCUCGUGAGGCUUGACUAUACAACACCCAAGCAGUUG